UACGAAGGGGGCUAGCGUUGUUCGGAUUCACUGGGCGUAAAGGGUGCGUAGGCGGUCGGGUAAGUCUGUCGUGAAAUCUCCGAGCCCAACUCGGAAACUGCGUCGGAUACUAUUCGGCUAGAGGAAUGGAGGGGAGACUGGAAUUCUCGGUGUAGCAGUGAAAUGCGUAGAUAUCGAGAGGAACACCAGUGGCGAAGGCGAGUCUCUGGACAUUUCCUGACGCUGAGGCACGAAAGCCAGGGGAGCAAACGGG
Molecule: ribosomal RNA, 253 nt
Filed under: uncultured bacterium
Lineage: Bacteria
Description: partial 16S ribosomal RNA
Rfam family: Bacterial small subunit ribosomal RNA
Source: RNAcentral